RNAcentral lists this ribosomal RNA (321 nucleotides) under uncultured Actinomycetes bacterium. Its description in RNAcentral is "bacterial SSU rRNA". It matches the Rfam family "Bacterial small subunit ribosomal RNA", at positions 28 to 351 of the family's 1533-position model. The record is from RNAcentral. Lineage: Bacteria; Bacillati; Actinomycetota; Actinomycetes.
GAUGAACGCUGGCGGCGUGCUUAACACAUGCAAGUCGAACGAUGAACCUCACUUGUGGGGGGAUUAGUGGCGAACGGGUGAGUAACACGUGAGUAACCUGCCCUUGACUCUGGGAUAAGCCUGGGAAACUGGGUCUAAUACCGGAUAUGACCUUCCAUCGCAUGGUGGUUGGUGGAAAGCUUUUGCGGUUUUGGAUGGACUCGCGGCCUAUCAGCUUGUUGGUGGGGUAAUGGCCUACCAAGGCGACGACGGGUAGCCGGCCUGAGAGGGUGACCGGCCACACUGGGACUGAGACACGGCCCAGACUCCUACGGGAGGCUG